GUUUGCUUUAGUAAGUCUUUAGGAUCUUUCCAGUUCUCAGUGUGGGGUCUAUGACUUCAUCAUAGGUGUGAUUUAAUUAAGACAGAAUUGAUAGUCUUGAAAUACUUGAUACAUGAGACACACUGUAGAACAACCUCAUGUUAACUUCAUGAGCUCAGAUUUGGGCACCUGAGAUCUGCAAGUUAAAUUGUCUGUGGAAAUGUGCUGCCUCUGUUAGUGAAAGAUAUAUAUUUUAUGAGAAAUCCAGACUUUCUUCAUUUACACAGAUUCUUGUUUUAUCUUUCCUAAAAUUUUUUGGUUCCAGGAAAGUUUUUCUAAAGAUGAAGAGACCAGAGGGUGGGCAAACAUGCAUGAGAAAGUAGAAAAGCUAUUUACAGAGAAGCUGAACUCAGUCAGAUAAGUGAGUAUUCUAAUAAAUGUUUGACUUUUCUCCUCCAGUUUCUGGAGAGAUUCAGGCUUAAGAAAUAAAAUGACUAAAUUAAGAAGCUUAAUAAUUUCUCCAUUUAAGCUGACUCGAUGGCUUGUGGGAGUGCUUAAGGUUUAUGCUAGAAAUUACCCUGCAUCCCAGGGAUCAGGAGUGGAAGCUGAUAAGAUAACAUGAGGCACAGGAGCAGUAUGUCUCACUCCACUGGCUCUGCCUUCAGAGCUCUUUAGUAGCUGGCAUGAGGAUGAGUCUAGCUCUGUUUCAAAAGCAUAGAAGAAGAAAAGGCAGAUAGCUACAGAAUACUGCCUAUAGUUACUACCACAUACUCCCCUGAGAGAGGGAACUCAUUUCCAUUGCUUCAGUGGCCUUCAGAUUUCUUCACAGUGGUAGACUCAUUGUCAGCCAAAAGGAAAGGAAAGAGCCUUCAUCUCAAUUCCUAUCAAUUUUGUCUUAAUUACAUCAUAUUGCAACAUACCUAUGAUGGAGUCAUCGACCCCACAUGGAGAACUGGGAAGACUUAAAGGCUUGCUAGAGCAAACAUCUGUGGGUGCAACACUGAAAAUUUGCCCCCAAAUGUUCCUUGUGUUCUUUCCUCUUGGACUCCCAAGGAUUGCAUGGUAUGUGUCUAUCCAAAUUGCUAUCACCCUCAAUACUGCAGCUUUGAGCUGUUGUGGAACUGGCUACUUCUUCUGCAAUCCAGAACCUGUUUUACUGCUGCUUUUAAUUGUCAGCCCUCCAGUGCCUGCGAAUAGGGUACAUAUACAGAUGCACUGACACAGUCAUUGAAGGUCUACCAGACAAAGUGUGCUAUUGUGAUAUAAGUCAGGUGGGAGUUGAAAGACCUUUAAAUUCAAAAUUUCUACUCUGUACACACCUGCACCCAGAAGGGGGAGACUGGGUAGUAUCUUUCACCCAAAUAAAUGUGUUAAGAUUAAAAACA
Molecule: long non-coding RNA, 1364 nt
Filed under: Anas platyrhynchos platyrhynchos (common mallard)
Lineage: Eukaryota; Metazoa; Chordata; Aves; Anseriformes; Anatidae
Description: lncRNA (ENSAPLG00000029018.1)
Source: RNAcentral